This 913-nucleotide ribosomal RNA is filed under the name uncultured fungus. RNAcentral describes it as "SSU rRNA". It matches the Rfam family "Eukaryotic small subunit ribosomal RNA", at positions 3 to 945 of the family's 1831-position model. Lineage: Eukaryota; Fungi. The record is from RNAcentral.
CCUGGUUGAUUCUGCCAGUAGUCAUAUGCUUGUCUCAAAGAUUAAGCCAUGCAUGUCUAAGUAUAAGCAACUUUGUACUGUGAAACUGCGAAUGGCUCAUUAAAUCAGUUAUAGUUUAUUUGAUGGUUUUUGCUACAUGGAUAACUGUGGUAAUUCUAGAGCUAAUACAUGCAUUCAAGCCCCGACUUCUGGAAGGGGUGUAUUUAUUAGAUAAAAAUCAACUUUGUUGGUGAAUCAUAAUAACUUCUCGGACCGCAUGGCCUUGUGCUGGCGGUGCUUCAUUCAAAUAUCUGCCCUAUCAACUGUCGAUGGUAGGAUAGAGGCCUACCAUGGUUGCAACGGGUAACGGGGAAUAAGGGUUCGAUUCCGGAGAGGGAGCCUGAGAAACGGCUACCACAUCCAAGGAAGGCAGCAGGCGCGCAAAUUACCCAAUCCCGACACGGGGAGGUAGUGACAAUAUGUAACAAUAUACGGCCUUAUACGUCGUAUAAUUGGAAUGAGUACAAUUUAAAUCCCUUAACGAGGAACAAUUGGAGGGCAAGUCUGGUGCCAGCAGCCGCGGUAAUUCCAGCUCCAAUAGCGUAUAUUAAAGUUGUUGCAGUUAAAAAGCUCGUAGUUGGACCUUGGACCUGGACAGGCGGUCCGCCUCACGGCGAGUACUGUCUUGCUGGGUCUUUCCUCUUGGUGAUCUGUUGUUUCGGCAGCAGGGAACCAGGACCUUUACUUUGAAAAAAUUAGAGUGUUCAAAGCAGGCUCGACGCCGGAAUAUAUUAGCAUGGAAUAAUAAAAUAGGACGUGCGGUUCUAUUUUGUUGGUUUUUGGAAUCGCCGUAAUGAUUAAUAGGGACAGUCGGGGGCAUUAGUACUCACAUGCUAGAGGUGAAAUUCUUGGAUUUUGUGAAGACUAACUUCUG